GGAUGUAGCUCAGUGGUAGAGCACUUGUCUAGAAUGCUGGAGGCCUUAGGUUCCAUUCUUAGCUCCA
RNAcentral lists this transfer RNA (67 nucleotides) under Ictidomys tridecemlineatus (thirteen-lined ground squirrel). RNAcentral's name for it is "Spermophilus tridecemlineatus (thirteen-lined ground squirrel) tRNA". It matches the Rfam family "tRNA". Rfam says of the family: Transfer RNA (tRNA) molecules are approximately 80 nucleotides in length. Their secondary structure includes four short double-helical elements and three loops (D, anti-codon, and T loops). Lineage: Eukaryota; Metazoa; Chordata; Mammalia; Rodentia; Sciuridae. The record is from Rfam by way of RNAcentral.